RNAcentral lists this ribosomal RNA (253 nucleotides) under uncultured bacterium. RNAcentral describes it as "partial 16S ribosomal RNA". It matches the Rfam family "Bacterial small subunit ribosomal RNA", at positions 524 to 776 of the family's 1533-position model. The record is from RNAcentral.
GACAGAGGAUGCAAGCGUUAUCCGGAAUGAUUGGGCGUAAAGCGUCUGUAGGUGGCUUUUCAAGUCCGCCGUCAAAUCCCAGGGCUCAACCCUGGACAGGCGGUGGAAACUACCAAGCUGGAGUACGGUAGGGGCAGAGGGAAUUCCCGGUGGAGCGGUGAAAUGCAUUGAGAUCGGAAAGAACACCAGCGGCGAAAGCGCUCUGCUGGGCCGACACUGACACUGAGAGACGAAAGCUAGGGGAGCAAAUGGG